RNAcentral lists this ribosomal RNA (404 nucleotides) under uncultured microorganism. Its description in RNAcentral is "bacterial SSU rRNA". It matches the Rfam family "Bacterial small subunit ribosomal RNA", at positions 9 to 407 of the family's 1533-position model. The record is from RNAcentral.
GAGUUUGAUCUUGGCUCAGAUUGAACGCUGGCGGCAUGCCUUACACAUGCAAGUCGAACGGCAGCAUGAUCUAGCUUGCUAGAUUGAUGGCGAGUGGCGAACGGGUGAGUAAUACAUCGGAACGUGCCCUGUAGUGGGGGAUAACUAGUCGAAAGAUUAGCUAAUACCGCAUACGACCUGAGGGUGAAAGUGGGGGACCGCAAGGCCUCAUGCUAUAGGAGCGGCCGAUGUCUGAUUAGCUAGUUGGUGGGGUAAAGGCCCGACCAAGGCGACGAUCAGUAGCUGGUCUGAGAGGACGAUCAGCCACACUGGGGACUGAGACACGGCCCAGACUCCUACGGGAGGCAGCAGUGGGGAAUUUUGGACAAUGGGCGAAAGCCUGAUCCAGCAAUGCCGCGUGUGUG